UACGAAGGGUGCAAACGUUGCUCGGAAUCAUUGGGCGUAAAGCGCACGUAGGCGGCUUUGCAAGUCGGACGUGAAAUCCCUCAGCUCAACUGAGGAAGUGCAUCCGAAACUGCAAGGCUUGAGUACUGAAGAGGAUCGCGGAAUUCCCGGUGUAGAGGUGAAAUUCGUAGAUAUCGAGAGGAACACCUGCGGCGAAGGCGGGUUGCUGGGCUGAUACUGACGCUGAGGCGCGAAAGCCAGGGGAGCGAACGGG
This 253-nucleotide ribosomal RNA is filed under the name uncultured bacterium. Its description in RNAcentral is "partial 16S ribosomal RNA". It matches the Rfam family "Bacterial small subunit ribosomal RNA", at positions 524 to 776 of the family's 1533-position model. The record is from RNAcentral.